GAUGAACGCUGGCGGCGUGCCUAAUACAUGCAAGUCGAGCGAACGGACGAGAAGCUUGCUUUUCUGAUGUUAGCGGCGGACGGGUGAGUAACACGUGGAUAACCUACCUAUAAGACUGGGAUAACUUCGGGAAACCGGAGCUAAUACCGGAUAAUAUUUUGAACCGCAUGGUUCAAAAGUGAAAGACGGUCUUGCUGUCACUUAUAGAUGGAUCCGCGCUGCAUUAGCUAGUUGGUAAGGUAACGGCUUACCAAGGCAACGAUGCAUAGCCGACCUGAGAGGGUGAUCGGCCACACUGGAACUGAGACACGGUCCAGACUCCUACGGGAGGCAGCAGUAGGGAAUCUUCCGCAAUGGGCGAAAGCCUGACGGAGCAACGCCGCGUGAGUGAUGAAGGUCUUCGGAUCGUAAAACUCUGUUAUUAGGGAAGAACAGAUGUGUGAGUAACUGUGCACAUCUUGACGGUACCUAAUCAGAAAGCCACGGCUAACUACGUG
This 497-nucleotide ribosomal RNA is filed under the name uncultured bacterium. RNAcentral describes it as "partial 16S ribosomal RNA". It matches the Rfam family "Bacterial small subunit ribosomal RNA", at positions 28 to 507 of the family's 1533-position model. The record is from RNAcentral.